RNAcentral lists this ribosomal RNA (441 nucleotides) under uncultured bacterium. Its description in RNAcentral is "partial 16S ribosomal RNA". It matches the Rfam family "Bacterial small subunit ribosomal RNA", at positions 338 to 795 of the family's 1533-position model. The record is from RNAcentral.
CCUACGGCAGGCAGCAGUGGGGAAUAUUGCACAAUGGGGGAAACCCUGAUGCAGCGACGCCGCGUGAGUGAAGAAGUAUUUCGGUAUGUAAAGCUCUAUCAGCAGGGAAGAAGAGAGACGGUACCUGUCUAAGAAGCUCCGGCUAACUACGUGCCAGCAGCCGCGGUAAUACGUAGGGGGCAAGCGUUAUCCGGAUUUACUGGGUGUAAAGGGAGCGUAGACGGCUGUGCAAGUCUGAAGUGAAAGCCCAGGGCUCAACCCUGGGACUGCUUUGGAAACUGGGGAGCUAGAGUGCUGGAGAGGCGAUCGGAAUUCCGUGUGUAGCGGUGAAAUGCGUAGAUAUACGGAGGAACACCAGUGGCGAAGGCGGAUUGCUGGACAGUAACUGACGCUGAGGCGCGAAAGCGUGGGGAGCAAACAGGAUUAGAUACCCCAGUAGUC